RNAcentral lists this long non-coding RNA (442 nucleotides) under Setaria italica (foxtail millet). RNAcentral describes it as "long non-coding RNA (SITA_LNC002950)". The record is from RNAcentral. Lineage: Eukaryota; Viridiplantae; Streptophyta; Magnoliopsida; Poales; Poaceae.
CGGAGGCGUAGGUGCUGGAGGACCUGGGGUCGAAGAGCGGGCCGGCCUGGCGGUGGCACGACACGACGCACGGCGAGCACUGCAGCCACGUGAGCGACGACCCCGUGUCGACGACCAUGGCGUAGGAAGUGGCCGGCGUGCCGAGGCCCAGCUGGGUGACGUAGUUCCCCACGCCUAUGGACGCGCCCGGCGAGAGCGGCACGGAGGCCAGGGAGUCGUCGAGGUGGCCGGCGGCCUUCUUCUUGCUGCGGAGCGACGUCGGGCGGCGGGGCGGCGCGUCAUUAUUGGUGUCGAGGCGGGAGGCGAGGUGGGCAGCGCGCGCAUCGUCGUGGGUGAGGACGGUGGAGAAGGGGAGGUCGGAGGGUAGCGGCGCCGGUGAGCAGGCGCUCUGCGGGUGGUGCAGCGUCAGGUGGAGGCCGGAGCUGUUCCGGUGCGGGAAAUC